Molecule: ribosomal RNA, 268 nt
Filed under: uncultured bacterium
Lineage: Bacteria
Description: partial 16S ribosomal RNA
Rfam family: Bacterial small subunit ribosomal RNA
Source: RNAcentral
GUCCACGCCCUAAACGAUGGAUACUAGGCGUAAGAGGUAUCGACCCCUCUUGUGCCGCAGCUAACGCAUUAAGUAUCCAGCCUGGGGAGUACGGCCGCAAGGUUGAAACUCAAAUGAAUUGACGGGGACCCCGCACAAGCGGUGGAGCAUGUGGAUUAAUUCGAUACUAACCGAAGAACCUUACCCAGGUUUGACAUCGAUUGAAAGCUCUAGAGAUAGGGCCCUCCCUCACAAGGGGACAUGAAGACACUUGUUGCAUGGCUGUCGU